Rattus norvegicus (Norway rat) is the source of this 568-nucleotide long non-coding RNA. RefSeq lists it as uncharacterized. Lineage: Eukaryota; Metazoa; Chordata; Mammalia; Rodentia; Muridae. The record is from RefSeq and is a predicted model, not a curated record.
GAGAAUUCCACCCUGGGAACAGAAAGUGCAGCUCCUCCUAACUCCCACAACCCAGCUUUUAAAAGAAUUGUUACCACAACCCGACUCAAAGAGCCAAUUCCCCGCAAUCGUGUUUGCAGAAACUCCUGUCCUUGUGAAUUACAGAACUCUUUAUGCCCAGAAUUAUGAAGGAAUUUGGUGAUUAAAUGAAUUCUUUUUUCUCUUCACACUGUGCAUGGAUAUCUGUGCACAGUGUGAAUGCAGAUCCUUCAAAACCCAGAAGAAUGCAUCAAAUCCCCUGUUACUGGAGUUACCAACAGUUGUGAGCUGCCAUGCGGGUGCCUGGUCCUUGAAGAGAGCUUUGACUGAACCACCUCUCAGUCCUCAGCUACUUCUCCCAUUGACUCCCAUGUGUGCAUCCUUCUGUCUCUUCUUAACUUCUCUUUUACCACCUUAAUCCAUGGGCCUAGGGACUGAAUAUAACAGGAAAGAACAGUUGCGUGGCUUUCCUUCUUUUCAUAGAGAUGCAGAAGCUUAAAACAUUCUCAUCUACUUUGAUCCAAGGAAGUCUAAUAAAAAUCUAAGGAAA